UACGUAGGGGGCAAGCGUUGUCCGGAAUCAUUGGGCGUAAAGGGCGCGCAGGCGGCGGACCAAGUCAGGCGUGAAAGCCCCGGGCUUAACCUGGGAGGUGCGUCUGGGACUGGUACGCUAGAGUUCGGGAGAGGAGAGUGGAAUUCCCAGUGUAGAGGUGAAAUUCGUAGAUAUUGGGAAGAACACCGGUGGCGAAGGCGGCUCUCUGGACCGAGACUGACGCUGAGGCGCGAAAGCGUGGGGAGCAGACAGG
Molecule: ribosomal RNA, 253 nt
Filed under: uncultured bacterium
Lineage: Bacteria
Description: partial 16S ribosomal RNA
Rfam family: Bacterial small subunit ribosomal RNA
Source: RNAcentral